GGGCCGGCGAGGGUCUGCUUUUCAUUAAAGUGCGGCCGGGGCACGCCAACGCUUCUUUGAACAAAACAAGCACGGUUCACGGCAAGGUUAGGAGGAGGCGGGGCGAGGAGGAUGUGAUCUGUCCUCCGAGGAACACGGAGCACUAUGCUAUGCUGGAAACCAGUACUUCAGCUGGAGGAGAAAAGCUUUGGUGAUUGCCCAAAGGAUUGAAUUGGGGAAAUCUUCAAGCACCACAUAGAUGUUCUGCCCCCACCCA
RNAcentral lists this long non-coding RNA (256 nucleotides) under Fukomys damarensis (Damara mole-rat). Its description in RNAcentral is "lncRNA (ENSFDAG00000027396.1)". Lineage: Eukaryota; Metazoa; Chordata; Mammalia; Rodentia; Bathyergidae. The record is from RNAcentral.